Molecule: unclassified non-coding RNA, 336 nt
Filed under: soil metagenome
Description: partial contains 5.8S ribosomal RNA, internal transcribed spacer 2, and large subunit ribosomal RNA
Rfam family: 5.8S ribosomal RNA (bases 1-120)
Source: RNAcentral
GAUGAAGAACGUAGCGAAAUGCGAUAAGUAAUGUGAAUUGCAGAAUUCAGUGAAUCAUCGAAUCUUUGAACGCACAUUGCGCCCGCCAGUAUUCUGGCGGGCAUGCCUGUUCGAGCGUCAUUUCAACCAUCAAGCCCCAGGCUUGUGUUGGGGACCUGCGGCUGCCGCAGGCCCUGAAAACCAGUGGCGGGCUCGCUGUCACACCGGGCGUAGUAGAUUUUAUCUCGCUCAGGGCGUGCUGUGGGUUCCGGCCGUUAAAAAGCCUUUUUUACCCAAGGUUGACCUCGGAUCAGGUAGGAAGACCCGCUGAACUUAAGCAUAUCAAUAAGCGGAGGA